This 21-nucleotide non-coding RNA is filed under the name Caenorhabditis elegans. Lineage: Eukaryota; Metazoa; Nematoda; Chromadorea; Rhabditida; Rhabditidae. The record is from RNAcentral.
CUCACAAAGUAGAUCGAUUCC